UACAGAGGGUGCGAGCGUUAAUCGGAAUUACUGGGCGUAAAGGGCGCGUAGGUGGUGAUAUAAGUCGAGGGUGAAAUUUCCGGGCUUAACUUGGAAUCGGCAAUCAAGACUGUAUGACUAGAGUAGGGUAGAGGGAAGUGGAAUUUCCGGUGUAGCGGUGAAAUGCGUAGAUAUCGGAAGGAACACCUGCGGCGAAGGCGGCCUUCUGGACGAUGACUGACGCUGAGACGCGAAAGCGUGGGGAGCAAACAGG
This 253-nucleotide ribosomal RNA is filed under the name uncultured bacterium. Its description in RNAcentral is "partial 16S ribosomal RNA". It matches the Rfam family "Bacterial small subunit ribosomal RNA", at positions 524 to 776 of the family's 1533-position model. The record is from RNAcentral.